ACGAACGCUGGCGGCGUGCCUAAUACAUGCAAGUCGAACGAACCGCGACUAGGUGCUUGCACUUGGUCAAGGUGAGUGGCGAACGGGUGAGUAACACGUGGGUAACCUACCUCAUAGUGGGGGAUAACAGUCGGAAACGACUGCUAAUACCGCAUAGGACAUAGGAUCACAUGAUCCAGUGAGGAAAGGUGGCGCAAGCUAUCGCUAAGAGAUGGACCCGCGGUGCAUUAGCUAGUUGGUAGGGUAAAGGCCUACCAAGGCGAUGAUGCAUAGCCGACCUGAGAGGGUGAUCGGCCACAUUGGGACUGAGACACGGCCCAAACUCCUACGGGAGGCAGCAGUAGGGAAUCUUCCGCAAUGGACGCAAGUCUGACGGAGCAACGCCGCGUGAGUGAAGAAGGUCUUCGGAUCGUAAAGCUCUGUUGUUAGAGAAGAACAGCGCAUAGAGUAACUGUUAUGCGUGUGACGGUAUCUAACCAGAAAGCCACGGCUAACUACGUG
RNAcentral lists this ribosomal RNA (501 nucleotides) under uncultured bacterium. RNAcentral's name for it is "partial 16S ribosomal RNA". It matches the Rfam family "Bacterial small subunit ribosomal RNA", at positions 29 to 507 of the family's 1533-position model. The record is from RNAcentral.